AUGAACUGCAGCUGUACAGUCCUUGUAAGGCAAUGAAAGGUCGGGCUGGGAUCACGUUUUGAGAAACUGAGAGAUCAUAUGUAGCUGUAGCUGCUUGGUAGCAUCUGACACAAGAAAAGUUAAACCCCUUUCAGAAAAUCAACUAUUGUAAUGAAGGUGAACUAUCAACUGCAUGUGAACCUCUCAAGACAAUUGUAUCUUUCAUGAAUUAAAUUCCAUGGAUGCAGUAUGGAAAAAGUGGGACAUUCCCAAUGGCAUGCUGGUGUGUGGAAACAGGACUUUUCCUGGAAAUGAUCAAUUAUGCUCUGGAUGAAUGAAAACAACUCGUUCUUGUAAAGAAAUGCUUAUAUUUCUGCACUGGCCAUCGGAGCGAAACAACCCCGUGACGUCACAUGUGGUGGUACUGCAAGAUGGCGGCGCCCUUGGUCCUAAAGCUAUAACAAAACAACCAUUUUUCUUUAAAAAUUGUACAUUAAUCAUGUUUGUUUUAUAUACAUUUUAUUAAAAUGGAAGUUGUUUUCCCAAAUAAUGCAAA
This is a long non-coding RNA of Carassius carassius (crucian carp), 535 nucleotides long. RefSeq lists it as uncharacterized. The transcript is spliced from 3 exons. Lineage: Eukaryota; Metazoa; Chordata; Actinopteri; Cypriniformes; Cyprinidae. The record is from RefSeq and is a predicted model, not a curated record.